CUUGGUCAUUUAGAGGAAGUAAAAGUUGUAACAAGGUUUCCGUAGGUGAACCUGCGGAAGGAUCAUUAACAAAUCCAAUAAUUGUGAGAGGGGGUAAAACCCUUUUUGCAAAUAUUAAACCCGCCGGUUCUUUUUUUAGGGCUGGUUGGCUAAAUAAAUGCGUGUUGUGUUGACAGUGUGUGUGUGAGUGACUUAAAUUUAUUGACAACUUUUAACAAUGGAUCUCUAGGCUCUUGCAACGAUGAAGAACGCAGCAAAGUGCGAAAAGUGAUGUGAUUUGCACGAAUCUGUGAGUCAUCUAAUAUUUGAACGCGAAUGGCACUGUUACGCAAGUAGCAGUAUGUCUGUUUGAGAAUCGCAAAACACGAUCAACUCUAGUUAAGAGUUGGGAUUGACCUUAUGUGCAGCGAUGCGUAUUUGGUUUGAAUAAAUCGAGUUGAUGAGCUUCCCAGCGCUGCUCAAUGUGUGCUAGCGAGACAGUCGUCCCGAUCUCACAUUCCGGCAGUGUUGCAGAGUUCUAUUAAACAACUUGCAAAUACUUUAUCAAUUACGAUCUCAAAUCAGGCAAGAUUACCCGCUGAACUUAAGCAUAUCAAUAAGCGGAGGA
Molecule: ribosomal RNA, 607 nt
Filed under: uncultured fungus
Lineage: Eukaryota; Fungi
Description: eukaryotic LSU rRNA
Rfam family: 5.8S ribosomal RNA (bases 207-358)
Source: RNAcentral